RNAcentral lists this ribosomal RNA (443 nucleotides) under uncultured bacterium. RNAcentral describes it as "partial 16S ribosomal RNA". It matches the Rfam family "Bacterial small subunit ribosomal RNA", at positions 338 to 795 of the family's 1533-position model. The record is from RNAcentral.
CCUACGGGAGGCAGCAGUGGGGAAUAUUGGGCAAUGGGCGCAAGCCUGACCCAGCAACGCCGCGUGAAGGAAGAAGGCCCUCGGGUUGUAAACUUCUUUUAUCAAGGACGAAAGAAAUGACGGUACUUGAUGAAUAAGUCACGGCUAACUACGUGCCAGCAGCCGCGGUAAUACGGAGGUGGCAAGCGUUAUCCGGAUUUACUGGGUGCAAAGGGCGUGUAGGCGGGUCGGCAAGUCAGAUGUGAAAACCACGGGCUCAACCCGUGGACUGCACUUGAAACUGGAGUUCUUGAGUGUUGGAGAGGCAGGCAGAAUUCCGUGUGUAGCGGUGAAAUGCGUAGAUAUACGGAGGAACACCAGUGGCGAAGGCGGCCUGCUGGACGAUAACUGACGCUGAGGCGCGAAAGCGUGGGGAGCAAACAGGAUUAGAUACCCUUGUAGUC